RNAcentral lists this ribosomal RNA (482 nucleotides) under uncultured bacterium. Its description in RNAcentral is "bacterial SSU rRNA". It matches the Rfam family "Bacterial small subunit ribosomal RNA", at positions 29 to 506 of the family's 1533-position model. The record is from RNAcentral.
UUGAACGCUGGCGGCAUGCUUUACACAUGCAAGUCGAACGGCAGCGGGGGCUUCGGCCUGCCGGCGAGUGGCGAACGGGUGAGUAAUGCAUCGGAACAUAUCCGGAAGUGGGGGAUAACGUACCGAAAGGUACGCUAAUACCGCAUAUGCCCCGAGGGGGAAAGGGGGGGAUCGCAAGACCUCUCGCUUUCGGAGUGGCCGAUAUCGGAUUAGCUAGAUGGUGGGGUAAAGGCUCACCAUGGCGACGAUCCGUAGCUGGUCUGAGAGGACGACCAGCCACACUGGGACUGAGACACGGCCCAGACUCCUACGGGAGGCAGCAGUGGGGAAUUUUGGACAAUGGGGGCAACCCUGAUCCAGCCAUGCCGCGUGAGUGAAGAAGGCCUUCGGGUUGUAAAGCUCUUUCAGACGGAAAGAAACGGUCGCGGCGAAUACCCGCGACUAAUGACGGUACCGUAAGAAGAAGCACCGGCUAACUACGU